GCAUCCGUAGCUCAGCUGGAUAGAGUACUCGCUACGAACCGAGCGGUCGGAGGUUCGAAUCCUCCCGGAUGCACCA
RNAcentral lists this transfer RNA (76 nucleotides) under Escherichia coli. RNAcentral's name for it is "tRNA-???(acga)". It matches the Rfam family "tRNA". From Rfam's summary of the family: Transfer RNA (tRNA) molecules are approximately 80 nucleotides in length. Their secondary structure includes four short double-helical elements and three loops (D, anti-codon, and T loops). RNAcentral also lists the same sequence under 1 other name. Lineage: Bacteria; Pseudomonadati; Pseudomonadota; Gammaproteobacteria; Enterobacterales; Enterobacteriaceae. The record is from RNAcentral.